Long non-coding RNA from Macrobrachium nipponense, 553 nucleotides. RefSeq lists it as uncharacterized. The transcript is spliced from 3 exons. Lineage: Eukaryota; Metazoa; Arthropoda; Malacostraca; Decapoda; Palaemonidae. The record is from RefSeq and is a predicted model, not a curated record.
CAACGGCUUUACGUGACUUCCAAACCACGUGGAGAGUGAACUUCUCCGGUCCGGUUCGUGAAACGGUAUUUCUCGUUUUGUGUUGCUUCUUUGUCGCGUCGCGCUGUCUGGUUUUGGUGUGUUUAAUUAAGCGAGUCCUCCGUUGGGGAUAAUCGUUCAUCUACGAUUUCAAGAUAGCAGUGAAGAAAGUCCUUUGGCUACGAAUCCGUCAAGGAGUUUGGUAACUAUACCAUUAUAAAAGAUUUGGAUUGCAUCUGUACGUAGCUGGUUCUGCAGUAAGAGAUAGUAAAGUCUAUUUACGAAUCUGUCUUGUGAAGAAGGCGAAGCUCUAGGAACCUACGAUGCUGUUUGCCUGAUACUCCCCCAUCGAAAUCGUUCAUCGUUGCAAGCAGCUGGCCGAGUUUGAAAACUGUUAACACUUCUCAAUAACGAUUGUAAGGGUAUAUGAACAUUACAAAUCUUUUACGAUAACCACUCUGAGCUUUAUUCAUUUGUAUCGCCUCUUUGAUUGUGUACUUCGAUAAUGAAGGUUACUGAAACUUAAAUUUUUAUA